Gambusia affinis (western mosquitofish) is the source of this 87-nucleotide non-coding RNA. NCBI's taxonomy places the organism in Eukaryota, Metazoa, Chordata, Actinopteri, Cyprinodontiformes, Poeciliidae. The record is from the annotation of a RefSeq genome assembly.
GGCUCUGUGGCGCAAUGGAUAGCGCAUUGGACUCCUAUUAUGAAUGAAGUGGGUCAAUGGUUGUGGGUUCGAGUCCCACCAGAGUCG